ACACGCAUGACACACUGCAUAUCAAUAAGCGGAGGAAAAGAAACUAACAAGGAUUCCCUUAGUAACGGCGAGUGAAGCGGGAAGAGCUCAAAUUUGAAAUCUUCAAGGUUCUAUCUUGACAAAUUGUAGUUUAUAGAAGUGUUUUCUGUUAGUAGGAGUGGCAAAAGUUCUUUGGAAUAGGACAUCAUAGAGGGUGAGAAUCCCGUAUUUGGUCAUUCUUCUAGCGUUGUGAUACACUUUCAACGAGUCGGAUUGUUUGGGAAUGCAGUCCAAAAUGGGUGGUAAAUUUCAUCUAAAGCUAAAUAUUGGCGAGAGACCGAUAGCGAACAAGUACCGUGAGGGAAAGAUGAAAAGAACUUUGAAAAGAGAGUUAAACAGUACGUGAAAUUGUCAAAAGGGAAGCGUUUGACACCAGUGUUGUUUUUCCGAAAAUCAAUUACGAAUGUUUUAGUUUUUGAGAAGUUAUGACUUCAUCGGCUUGCUUCUCUCUUUAUGAAACUUUCUUAAUGCACUUUUCGGUUAACAAGUCAACAUCAAUUUCUUUUGUUGUAAAAGGGUAUGAGGAAGGUGGCUUUCUUUUCGGAGAAAGUGUUUAUAGCCUUGUACCUCUGCAAUCGGAGAGAUUGAGGUCUGCAGCGUAGAUCCUUCGGGGUUAGAUACAUUUGUGCUAAGUUAUAGCUUUUCAUAGACAACUUGUUGACUAUGUUUAGUCUUGUAGCUUACUCGCUUAUGCUAUUUUACCUACGCUUAGGAUGUUGACGCAUGAGAUAUACGC
Molecule: ribosomal RNA, 775 nt
Filed under: uncultured Neocallimastigales
Lineage: Eukaryota; Fungi; Neocallimastigomycota; Neocallimastigomycetes; Neocallimastigales
Description: partial large subunit ribosomal RNA
Rfam family: Eukaryotic large subunit ribosomal RNA
Source: RNAcentral